AAAGCCAAGAGUCAAUAAGCACAGCAUUGCACAGCAUUACACAUCCCAUUCAUACUCUGCCAUAUAAGAAAUAGGAGACAAGCACCAAACUCCAUCAUUCACCACACAAAAUUCCUAGAAGUAAUAAUAUUCUUGAUAUUUAAAUAAUCAAUGAUUUUCUAUGAAAGUUAAAGAAUGUGCAAAAAAGGAAAAAGAAAAAAGGAUUAUCAUGCAAUAUCACCUUGCAAAAAAUAAAGCUAUAUGAUGCACAAAAAUAUAAAACUGUCAACUAUAGAUGACAUGUGAUGACCAAAACAUAACCUCUUCUGGAGUAAUUGUGUACAU
Molecule: unclassified non-coding RNA, 324 nt
Filed under: Hevea brasiliensis (rubber tree)
Lineage: Eukaryota; Viridiplantae; Streptophyta; Magnoliopsida; Malpighiales; Euphorbiaceae
Source: RNAcentral